GAUUUCUGGCACGAUGUACCUGUCCCGCUGCGGUCAACGCAUGUGAGUGACGGAGUAUGUCUGCCAUCCUUCUAGAGAAUAUAAACUAUCCUUUACUGGACUGGUUUAUAUCAUCUAGAUCUUUUACUUUGAAAAAAUUAGAGUGUUUCAAGCAGGCGUUUUGCUAUGAAUACAUUAGCAUGGAAUAAUGAGUUAGGACUUCGGUUCUAUUUUGUUGGUUUCUAGGACUGAAGUAAUGAUUGAUAGGGAUAGUUGGGGGUGCUAGUAUUCAGCGGCCAGAGGUGAAAUUCUUGGAUUCGCUGAAGACUAACUUAUGCGAAAGCAUU
RNAcentral lists this ribosomal RNA (326 nucleotides) under Allapsidae sp. RNAcentral's name for it is "SSU rRNA". The stretch from base 61 to 326 matches the Rfam family "Eukaryotic small subunit ribosomal RNA", at positions 689 to 955 of the family's 1831-position model. Lineage: Eukaryota; Cercozoa; Glissomonadida; Viridiraptoridae. The record is from RNAcentral.